GAUGAACGCUGGCGGCGUGCCUAAUACAUGCAAGUCGAGCGAACGGACGAGAAGCUUGCUUUUCUGAUGUUAGCGGCGGACGGGUGAGUAACACGUGGAUAACCUCCCUAUAAGACUGGGAUAACUUCGGGAAACCGGAGCUAAUACCGGAUAAUAUUUUGAACCGCAUGGUUCAAAAGUGAAAGACGGUCCUGCUGUCACUUAUAGAUGGAUCCGCGCUGCAUUAGCUAGUUGGUAAGGUAACGGCUUACCAAGGCAACGAUGCAUAGCCGACCUGAGAGGGUGAUCAGCCACACUGGAACUGAGACACGGUCCAGACUCCUACGGGAGGCAGCAGUGGGGAAUCUUCCACAAUGGGCGAAAGCCUGACGGAGCAACGCCGCGUGAGUGAUGAAGGUCUUCGGGUCGUAAAACCCUGUUAUUAGGGAAGAACAUAUGUAUAAGUAACUGUGGACAUCUUGACGGUACCUAAGCAAAAAGCCACGGCUAACUACGUG
Molecule: ribosomal RNA, 497 nt
Filed under: uncultured bacterium
Lineage: Bacteria
Description: partial 16S ribosomal RNA
Rfam family: Bacterial small subunit ribosomal RNA
Source: RNAcentral